CUUCGACUCCAUUUGAGUCCAGCUGUGUUUGAUAAUACUGAUUGGACUUGAUUAGCAAAGCCACACACCUGUCUAUAUAAAACCUUACAGCUUACAGUUCAUGUCUUGUAUAUAAGGUUGUACCAUAGGCAAAUUCGUGUUUAUGGCAGGCUGGAUUGUGUGUUCACAUUUGUGUGCUUGUUCUAGAUCCAUCUGUCUAUUCCAAUCGCAUACAUAGCUAUUCAUCCUUCCAUCUGUCUGCUACCUAUGUGUUUCCUUCCAUCCCAGCCAUGCAAACAAGUGCUCUCAUCCCUUUCUAAAAGUGUCAGCGCAUAUUUCAUCUCCUCAAUUAAAGACUUGACUGCAAUCCCACACAAACAAACACAGCCUCUAGCAUUCACACGCAGCAGAAUCUGUGGAUGUUUUACAAGGAACACUGAAAAACUGGGGCCUUUGACAACCACACAAACAAUUGCUCUGGAAACAAAAUGGCCGCAGUAUUGAUCACUCUGAGGAAAGUCUGUAAAAAUAUGGACAAAUAUGAGGAGAGAAUAUGGGAAGAGCUGACUGGCCAAGCAGGCGAUAAUGAAUUGGAAGGGAAAGUCCAAGGCAGUGGAUGAGACGCAGACCAGAGUGUGCACUGCUAACCUUUGCGAGCGCUAAAUCAAAUAAGGCUUGAGGCUGCGGUAGCAUCUGUGUGUCACGAAGCAGACGGCGAUGUCAGAUAAGAGCAGUAAGUGUACCCUGUUUCCAGAACAGCGAAGGAGUCAGGAUGGGGUGUGUUACUUCUACAUUCUUUCAGGCUAAUGGACACAGACUGGCAAACCAACAGCAUUUAUACCAAGGAACAAUCCAGGUAUUUUAAGAAACACAGAAUAUGAGGAGCUGUGACUCCCACCCUUAACAAGUCAUAAACACUGAACAACAGACAUUUAAGCCUGAUAAUCUCCUUACAUUUACAACACACUCAUACAAUAAUACUUCAACAUAGGGUGCUAGUCAGGCAUCACAGUAAUGACACAUCACAGUGCUGAUGUACUGUCCGGAAUGGGUGACAUUUUAUGGUCUUGGAAGAAAUAUUAUAACUUGACUAACCGUAUACCGUGACUAACUUUUUUUGUGGACUAUUCGGCUUAUAUAGUGCUUUUGUGACUCAAACUUACAGAUAUGGUUUGUGCAUGCCUUCAUGUACUUUGGAUAUUUUCUUUUAAGUUAAAUAAUCCGUAAAUUAGUUCAGGCACACCACAAAGCUAUUGAUUAAAUAAAGUUUGACAUCACUCU
Molecule: non-coding RNA, 1260 nt
Organism: Danio rerio (zebrafish)
Lineage: Eukaryota; Metazoa; Chordata; Actinopteri; Cypriniformes; Danionidae
Source: RefSeq, a predicted model, not a curated record